RNAcentral lists this small nuclear RNA (103 nucleotides) under Bos taurus (domestic cattle). The record is from RNAcentral. Lineage: Eukaryota; Metazoa; Chordata; Mammalia; Artiodactyla; Bovidae.
GUGCUUGCUUCAGCACAUAUACUAAAAUUAGAACUAUACAGAGAAGAAUAACAUGGCUCCUGCAUGAGUUGUCAUGAAGAUUCAUGAAGCAUUCCAUAUUUUU